AGCAGCCGCGGUAAUUCCAGCUCCAAUAGCGUAUAUUAAAGUUGCUGCAGUUAAAAAGCUCGUAGUUGAAUUUCGGGACUAAUAUGUUGGUCGUGCCUCGGUACGUACUGAUAUUUUUGGUUUCUCCCUUCUGACGAACCUUGAUGUCAUUAAUUUGGUGUCUUGGGAAAUCAGGACUGUUACUUUGAAAAAAUUAGAGUGUUUAAAGCAGGCUCACGCUUGAAUACAUUAGCAUGGAAUAAUGAAAUAGGACGUUUGAUUCUAUUUUGUUGGUUUCUAGGAUCGACGUAAUGAUUAAUAGGGAUAGUUGGGGGCAUUAGUAUUCAAUUGUCAGAGGUGAAAUUCUUGGAUUUAUUGAAGACUAACUACUGCGAAAGCAUUUGCCAAGGAUGUUUUCAUUAAUCAAGAACGAAAGUUAGGGGAUCGAAGACGAUCAGAUACCGUCGUAGUCUUAACCAUAAACUAUGCCGACUAGGGAUCGGAUGAUGUUAAUUUUUUAAUGACUCAUUCGGCGCCUUAC
RNAcentral lists this non-coding RNA (520 nucleotides) under uncultured Glomus. RNAcentral's name for it is "SSU rRNA". It matches the Rfam family "Eukaryotic small subunit ribosomal RNA", at positions 569 to 1091 of the family's 1831-position model. Lineage: Eukaryota; Fungi; Glomeromycota; Glomeromycetes; Glomerales; Glomeraceae. The record is from RNAcentral. RNAcentral also lists the same sequence under 1 other name.